AAUUGAUUAGUUGAAUAAAACAUUUAUUUUGAAAAUAAAAAGUGAUACAUAAUUUUAUCAUCAAUUU
This 67-nucleotide transfer RNA is filed under the name Dypsocus coleoptratus. RNAcentral's name for it is "tRNA-Ser". It matches the Rfam family "tRNA". From Rfam's summary of the family: Transfer RNA (tRNA) molecules are approximately 80 nucleotides in length. Their secondary structure includes four short double-helical elements and three loops (D, anti-codon, and T loops). Lineage: Eukaryota; Metazoa; Arthropoda; Insecta; Psocodea; Caeciliusidae. The record is from RNAcentral.